Molecule: ribosomal RNA, 912 nt
Filed under: Mycobacterium sp. Site4-B25
Lineage: Bacteria; Bacillati; Actinomycetota; Actinomycetes; Mycobacteriales; Mycobacteriaceae
Description: bacterial SSU rRNA
Rfam family: Bacterial small subunit ribosomal RNA
Source: RNAcentral
GAACGGGUGAGUAACACGUGGGUGAUCUGCCCUGCACUUUGGGAUAAGCCUGGGAAACUGGGUCUAAUACCGAAUAUGACCGCGCACUUCCUGGUGUGUGGUGGAAAGCUUUUGCGGUGUGGGAUGGGCCCGCGGCCUAUCAGCUUGUUGGUGGGGUAAUGGCCUACCAAGGCGACGACGGGUAGCCGGCCUGAGAGGGUGACCGGCCACACUGGGACUGAGAUACGGCCCAGACUCCUACGGGAGGCAGCAGUGGGGAAUAUUGCACAAUGGGCGCAAGCCUGAUGCAGCGACGCCGCGUGAGGGAUGACGGCCUUCGGGUUGUAAACCUCUUUCAAUAGGGACGAAGCGCAAGUGACGGUACCUAUAGAAGAAGGACCGGCCAACUACGUGCCAGCAGCCGCGGUAAUACGUAGGGUCCGAGCGUUGUCCGGAAUUACUGGGCGUAAAGAGCUCGUAGGUGGUUUGUCGCGUUGUUCGUGAAAACUCACAGCUUAACUGUGGGCGUGCGGGCGAUACGGGCAGACUAGAGUACUGCAGGGGAGACUGGAAUUCCUGGUGUAGCGGUGGAAUGCGCAGAUAUCAGGAGGAACACCGGUGGCGAAGGCGGGUCUCUGGGCAGUAACUGACGCUGAGGAGCGAAAGCGUGGGGAGCGAACAGGAUUAGAUACCCUGGUAGUCCACGCCGUAAACGGUGGGUACUAGGUGUGGGUUUCCUUCCUUGGGAUCCGUGCCGUAGCUAACGCAUUAAGUACCCCGCCUGGGGAGUACGGCCGCAAGGCUAAAACUCAAAGAAAUUGACGGGGGCCCGCACAAGCGGCGGAGCAUGUGGAUUAAUUCGAUGCAACGCGAAGAACCUUACCUGGGUUUGACAUGCACAGGACGCCGGCAGAGAUGUCGGUUCCCUUGUGG